RNAcentral lists this long non-coding RNA (578 nucleotides) under Homo sapiens (human). Its description in RNAcentral is "HSALNT0261212". Lineage: Eukaryota; Metazoa; Chordata; Mammalia; Primates; Hominidae. The record is from RNAcentral.
GACGGUUUGUCCAGGUCCCCUAGGGAGAAAAGGGGAUGGUCCCAGUAGGGCAGGGUGAAAUGGAGAGUUCCAAACCUCCACCUCAGAUCCAGGUGAGAAUUCUCUUCUAGACUGAGGACAACUCCCUCAGGAGAGAGACAUGAUUCCUUGGUAUAUUUUGAGGAACAAGAUUAUGCAUCCGUAGGCAGGGGAGGAGAGCGGGGGGCUGGAACUGUCACCCAGGGCCUGGAACUUGUAGCAGAAGCGCCCCCACCCGCACAAAGAGUGCCACCCAGGCAGAAUCGCGGCUUGUGGGGGCAGAGCUACUGCCUAAGUCUGAAGCAGAUGACACCCAGGAGUGGAGCCUUGUGCCUGUGACCGGGAAGGAAUCUGAGCUUUCGGUUUAACUGCCAUUCACCAUGCACCUGUUGAGCACCUACUGUGUGCAGGCACUGUCUGUUGCAGCCACUGAGAAGAAAGCAGUGAGCCCUGGCUGGGUGCAAUGGCUCACGCCUGUAAUCCCAGCACUUUGGGAGGCCAAGGCAGGAGGAUCGCUUGAGACCAGGAGUUCAACACCAGCCUGGGCAUCAUAGCGAGAC